CCUUCCCUGGUAUCAAGUUGAUCGUAUCCGCUGAGAGGGUUGACAUGGAGGGGAUGACACAUAUCGACCGUCCUUCUCAUGGUGGCGAAAAUUGGAAGCUCGUCCCACAAGCGUUGCCAGAGUUGGUACAAUUUGUACCAAUUUGAUACAAUUAACAACCAAACUUGUGAUACUAAAGUAUCUAAAGUAAAAACCUAAAAUUUUGUGAUAUAAUAAAUUUGCUUCAAAUAACAUAAAACGACGUUUUUUAAGUUUUUGUACAAAAUGUGUUGGUGUAGUACAUUUUAGUCAAUAUUCCAGUCACUCCAGUGCAUUUACAAAAAUUUCUCUGGCAACACCGUCACCUGCGAUUGCUUCUAUAAAUCAAAAUAAUUAUUAUUCCCUUAAUUUUUUAAAAUGCGGUUCUUGUGUUGUUUUUGACUGUCAUUGUACAUGGAGAAAUAGUGGAAUGAAAUUCUUUCGUUUUCCUACAUCCAAAUAUAGGCAGGAUCAAAGAAAAAAAUGGAUUAGUGCUAUUCAAAGACAAAAAAAAUAAAGGCCAUAAAAUUUGGAAAAGAACAAAGAAGAGUACAAAUCAUUGGUUAAUGAUAUGUUUUAUAGGGACUAUAUCAUAUAUUUUAAUGAAAGAAAAAAUGAGUACUGAACACAAAGCACGAUUAUUACAACCAAAUUCAAGGCAACUUAUAAUUAAUAAAAAGGAAGGUGUGCCACCUAGUGAUCUGGAUGCCUUCAGAAUCGAUCAUAUAUGAUGUCGGUAUUGAAGAAUGCUGGGAACACAAUAUAAAAUUAUUAAAAACAUUUUAUUUGAAUAAAUAAGUAUAUACCAUUUUUAUGUGGAAAUAAAGCACUUUAAAAUUA
RNAcentral lists this long non-coding RNA (858 nucleotides) under Diabrotica virgifera virgifera (western corn rootworm). RNAcentral describes it as "uncharacterized LOC126881465". The record is from RNAcentral. Lineage: Eukaryota; Metazoa; Arthropoda; Insecta; Coleoptera; Chrysomelidae.